This is a long non-coding RNA of Solenopsis invicta (red fire ant), 1030 nucleotides long. RefSeq lists it as uncharacterized. The record is from RefSeq and is a predicted model, not a curated record. The transcript has 8 exons. NCBI's taxonomy places the organism in Eukaryota, Metazoa, Arthropoda, Insecta, Hymenoptera, Formicidae.
UGCCGUCCGCGCGAGUCAUUACUCCUUUGUUGUCGCAGCGAGUAUCGGAAGACGAUCACUGUUUACGAACAGGUAGCACUAAAUUCGCGCGUACGGCCUCCACGACGGUGAGGACUCGUGGAGUGCCGUAUCGAGACGAUGCGGCGGCUGUUAUCGGAGCAAGUUACUGAGCAUCGUUAUGAUUGUCGAUCGCGUCAACCCGGCGCGCUGUUAAAGACUCGUAAGCGAGGCGGCCGGUAAGGUUAGGUUAGGCCAGACGCUUCGCGCGAUUUAUUCAUCUAAAGUGGGAAUGAAGAUAAUAGUCGGGAAUAAAGCACUGACUCGCGAUAUUUACGAGCGAAGAUCUGUUCUUUAUUCGUGCUUGGAAUCGAGUACAUACAUCUCGCGUCUCGAUCUUCUUUCAAUCUGUAAAUCCGAGCUCGUUGUCAUUCUCGAGUUGAAGGCGAAUUGGAGUAAUCGUCGGAUCGGAAAGCCGUGAUAUAGUGAACGAUGCGCGAGUAUCAUGAAAAAACCAGCAACGAAAGGGUGAGAGAGGAAGAGAAAAAGGAGACUCAGAAGCGAGUGACCGCGGAAUGCUAGUGAGCGAUGCGCAUGAAAAAAAAAACAGGAACAGAAAGGGAGAGAGAGGAACGAAAAAGGAGACUUGAAAGCGAAUGAUAAUGGAGCAGCUGUGGGUGUAAUAUCUGCGGAGUGUCGUUUUCUAUUUAUUAAACGCGCGCGAAUUAAUCACGAAUGAAGUUUUGGCGAGUGAAUUUUCGCGAGUGAGUAUUGUGAGUGAAUUUUCGCGAGUGAGUACCACGAGUGAGUAUAAGUGCAACGGAGGAAACUGAGAGGAGGCAGAGGCCUAGGAGGCAUCGAGCAACGGCGAAGCAACCACGGGUUCAACGUAGUGAUGCAGUUUACAACUCCGCCGCUGCGCAUCGUAUUGAUUUCAAUGUAAUCUACGCAGCAGAUUUACAGGACCUGGGAGAGGCAUCUGGCCCCAGCGGAGCAACCAUGGGUAAUCAUCGUAGCUUCGUGGCUGAGUAAC